GACGAACGCUGGCGGCGUGCUUAACACAUGCAAGUCGAACGGAAAGGCCCUGCUUGCAGGGUACUCGAGUGGCGAACGGGCGAGUAACACGUGGGUGCUCUGCCCUGCACUUCUGGAUAAGCCUGGGAAACUGGGUCUAAUACCGGAUAGGAGCCAUUUUUAGUGUGAUGGUUGGAAAGUUUUUUCGGUGUAGGAUGAGCUCGCGGCCUAUCAGCUUGUUGGUGGGGUAAUGGCCUACCAAGGCGGCGACGGGUAGCCGGCCUGAGAGGGUGGACGGCCACAUUGGGUCUGAGAGACGGCCCAAACUCCUACGGGAGGAAGCAGGGGGGAAGAUUGCACAAUGGGCGCAAGCCUGAUGCAGCAACGCCGCGGGUGGGAUGACGGCCUUCUGGUUGUAAACUCCGUUCGCUAGGGACGAAGCUUUUUGUGACGGUACCUAGAGAAGAAGCACCGGCUAACUACGUG
RNAcentral lists this ribosomal RNA (465 nucleotides) under uncultured bacterium. RNAcentral's name for it is "partial 16S ribosomal RNA". It matches the Rfam family "Bacterial small subunit ribosomal RNA", at positions 28 to 507 of the family's 1533-position model. The record is from RNAcentral.